Molecule: ribosomal RNA, 410 nt
Filed under: uncultured bacterium
Lineage: Bacteria
Description: bacterial SSU rRNA
Rfam family: Bacterial small subunit ribosomal RNA
Source: RNAcentral
GUGCCAGCCGCCGCGGUAAUACGUAGGGGGCGAGCGUUAUCCGGAAUUACUGGGCGUAAAGAGUGCGUAGGUGGUUGCUUAAGCGUGGGGUGAAAGGCAAUGGCUUAACCAUUGUGAGCCUCGCGAACUGGGCGACUUGAGUGCAGGAGAGGAAAGCGGAAUUCCUAGUGUAGCGGUGAAAUGCGUAGAUAUUAGGAGGAACACCAGUGGCGAAGGCGGCUUUCUGGACUGUAACUGACACUGAGGCACGAAAGCGUGGGGAGCAAACAGGAUUAGAUACCCUGGUAGUCCACGCCGUAAACGAUGAGCACUAGGUGUCGGGGCCGCAAGGUUUCGGUGCCGCAGUUAACGCAUUAAGUGCUCCGCCUGGGGAGUACGCACGCAAGUGUGAAACUCAAAGGAAUUGGCGG